UGGAUGGGGGCUGGCUGUGAAAAGGCCUGGUCUUAGCAUGUGCAUUGUCUGCUGCUCCUCAGGUCUGUUGCCCCACCAGCUGAUGGAGUAAUGAAGCUUCCCCUGAAUGGCGAUGGAAAGGCUUCAGGAGAAAGAAAUGAAAGAUUAGAUGAAUCUUCACGGAUCAUGAGCUCCAAACGGACGUCGUGUACAUGGCAAUCCAUGCCUGUGAAAUGUGAGUGUCCGCUGGAUUUCAAAUGCUGCCAAAUCAGGAUCUUAGCACUUCACGCACGCUAUCCGUGCACUUAUUUGUGCAAUGUCGCAAUAAGCAUAUAUUUGCAAGGAAAGGGAUCAGUCUGACAGCUGCUAGCAUUCUUGAAAACAACAGUCCUCAGAGGCAAUUCAUAUGCUUGAGGAGUAAAUAUAUA
Molecule: long non-coding RNA, 407 nt
Filed under: Dromaius novaehollandiae (emu)
Lineage: Eukaryota; Metazoa; Chordata; Aves; Casuariiformes; Dromaiidae
Description: lncRNA (ENSDNVG00000008840.1)
Source: RNAcentral